GCUGGGUGUGGUGGUGCACGACUGUAAUCCCAGCAGCUUGGGAGGCUGAGGCAGGAGGAUCAUGAGUUCAAAGCCAGCCUCAG
This 83-nucleotide small RNA is filed under the name Marmota monax (woodchuck). Lineage: Eukaryota; Metazoa; Chordata; Mammalia; Rodentia; Sciuridae. The record is from RNAcentral.